RNAcentral lists this ribosomal RNA (500 nucleotides) under uncultured bacterium. RNAcentral describes it as "partial 16S ribosomal RNA". It matches the Rfam family "Bacterial small subunit ribosomal RNA", at positions 30 to 523 of the family's 1533-position model. The record is from RNAcentral.
AUUGAACGCUGGCGGAAUGCUUUACACAUGCAAGUCGAACGGCAGCACGGACUUCGGUCUGGUGGCGAGUGGCGAACGGGUGAGUAACGUAUCGGAACGUGCCCAGUCGUGGGGGAUAACGUAGUGAAAAUUACGCUAAUACCGCAUACGAUCUAUGGAUUAAAGCGGGGGAUCGCAAGACCUCGCGCGAUUGGAGCGGCCGAUAUCAGAUUAGGUAGUUGGUGGGGUAAAGGCCCACAAAGCCAACGAUCUGUAGCUGGUCUGAGAGGACGACCAGCCACACUGGAACUGAGACACGGUCCAGACUCCUACGGGAGGCAGCAGUGGGGAAUUUUGGACAAUGGGCGAAAGCCUGAUCCAGCCAUUCCGCGUGCAGGAUGAAGGCCCUCGGGUUGUAAACUGCUUUUGUACAGAACGAAAAGGUUUCUACUAAUACUAGGAGCUCAUGACGGUACUGUAAGAAUAAGCACCGGCUAACUACGUGCCAGCAGCCGCCGUAA